GCAAGUCGAACGAGAACGGGUUAUAGUUUACUAUAACUGUCAGCUAAGUGGCGCACGGGUGAGUAAUAUAUAGGUAACGUGCCUAAACAGGGGGUAAAAUUUGGAAACGAAUGCUAACACCCAUAUGCCUUUAUCCCAUAAGGGAGCAAGGGAAAUAUUUAUAGCUCUAGGAUCGGCCUGUACGAUAUCAGUUUGUUGGUGAGGUAAUGGCUCACCAAGACUAUGACGCCUAACUGGUUUGAGAGGAUGAUC
Molecule: ribosomal RNA, 252 nt
Filed under: uncultured bacterium
Lineage: Bacteria
Description: partial 16S ribosomal RNA
Rfam family: Bacterial small subunit ribosomal RNA
Source: RNAcentral